CGAGCAGGGGGCCUCGGUUCCCAGACUGGGUAGUCAGCUCAGGAUAGGGAUAGGGCUGUCAUAUCAGAACCCCUGCUCCCAUCAUUUCUCAGCUCCUACAUGCAGAAGUACACAUUCACUAAGUAGGCCAAGGCAGCUACACAUUUUCCCUAUCCUUAACAGAUGAUUUUAGAAUAUGUCCUUCUUUUUCUGUUAUUUCAUUUCCAGAGUAUGAGAGCAUAAAGGUGAUGUAAAAGGACAUUCCUCAAAUUACCCUGAGAGGAUUUUGUUAACAGCAACCAACCACACUGAAGAGAUAAAAACAAAUACUCAGUGAUGUCUGCCUGAUGAUAUUCUGCUUCUACUAGCAUGUGAAAUGAGAGGUGGAAGGAAUUAACCUAGAAGAGGAGGAAUGACAGCAGAUGAGAAAUGAAGCAAAGCUACACGUACUCAGGCUUAGCUAGCAGCAUACGUUGGCUGAGAAUUAAAGAGGGACGUGGGCAUUUCAGAAAGCUUGGCAAUAUAAAAUCUGAAACUUUGUCACCCAUCUCUUUAGGGAGUGGGGUUCAAAAUGUGGGAGUAAGUGCUCAGAUACCUUACAUACUAGAUAAGAGAAAUUAAAUGUCUGGAUUGUAAUACCCAACAGGAAGCCCCAGGUAUGUAUAAAAUCCUCUCUCAGUGUGGACCAAGAUACUUGUGUAAGAUUCAGUAUCUCUGUGAAGCUAGAAUUAAGAAAUAGGCUUAGGAAGCCAGAGCCUAUUUCUGUUAAACUGUCUGUGAUAAUGGAGGGAUUUUGUCUAUAUCUGUACUACUUAGUAAAAUAGCCAAGAACAGCCAUUUGACCAGAAGAGCAUGAGGCAUGUCAUAACCUGAAUAUUGUUGGCUGACCUCUUUUAUCACGUAUUUUUUUUCUGGAAAAACCGAAAACCAACCUAUUUUAACUAUUGGAAAACACAUCUGGAUUAUUUUAGACUUAAGCAUAAGGAAUCUUGGCCAAAAGGUGUCAGGGAACAUGCUAACACAUAAUGGGUACAGAUAAUUAAGGCCAAAUGCAUACCAGACCCAUCCAAUCUGUUUUUGUAAAUACAUCCAAAAUACUUGGCAAGGGAAUAGGAGAUCUGUUUUUGGAAAAUACUCAGCAAACAGGGAUUUAAACUCUGUUCAAAACUCAACAAGAGGAUAAUAGCUAAAAGGCAGUCAGGCUUUCUUGUGUUUGGUGCUUGAUGUUGCAUACAAAGCAGUGUGAAAUAUAUAGUCACAGAGACUCAAAAGGAGAUCAGGGGAAAGAAGAUCAAACUCUCCAGCUAGAACACCCAACUGGAAGGCUGCCUGAGUCACUGGCUGCAGCUUACUAUCACUUACCUGUUCAAGUAAGGGAACAAGAUACUAGGGAGCGAGGGCAUAGGGUGUACCAUGAUGUCAAGUUUCAGGAGUGCUGUCUGCUGAGGUGCUCCAUGACCAGAGUGGCCAGAAAUGGACUCCAACAGUAGGGUGUAGGAGCACCCAAAGAUGCUGUCAGGACAUGCGGGACCCAAGACGUGAUACAGAUUUUUGACUCUUCCAAGGAGCUUCAGCUGAAAAUCAAACUCAAGUCCUCAGUUAGUAUAGAAGUUGUAAUGCUGCAGUUUGUGUCUCUGAUGAACUUACAGGUAUCACUGGAGGAAUGAGUUCAAGUAAAUGUAACUUCAUAUACACAAAACCAGCUCAGCCACUUUCAGACAGAAAUAGCACUGCCUCAGCAGUACAUCACAUCAGUGUUCUGCUAUCUAGAAUGGACUAAUUUUAUAAAAGGUUGUCAUAAAAAUUAUACAGGUGCUAUUGUUUCCAUCUGUGAUUCACUUAAGUGGCAAGCAGUCUGAUUCAUCUGUUCAUGUCAACAGAAAGAUUUGCAAUGACUUCAAAAAGAAUUGGAAUAAGCACCAACUCAAGCAAACCAGAGGCUGGCUAUAUGUUCAAAUCUUGGCUGUGUACUUUUAAAACAAGGUAAUGUCACCCUAGUUUUCACCUGCAACUGAGCUAGGCUGGCAGAACAUGGAGGUGUUUAAACUUUAUUUGUAUCUGUGGACAUCCGUAUCUCUGUAUACAAUCCUUUAAUGUUUUCUUCAAACUAAAUUACUCUGAAAUUUCCCAGGAUGUCUCAGUGAGGUAUCAAGUAUUUUUAGGUAUGUACAUAAUCCAGUCAUGUUUCCAGCAAUGUUCUGCCAACCUCUUUUCCAUGAAGGGGUAUUCUUGUGGUGACCAUAUUCUCUCAGAUGCUUCCCUGUCCAAAGUGUCUAAAAAUUAAAGUGUUAGGAGAGGCAAACUUGUACCCUUUCUUCUCAUGGAAAGCUGUGAUGUAUGCAAGCACUAAUUACUAAAAGUGCACAGAAAUUGGAAUAAUAGGAACUACAGAAAUUCCUUUCUGCCUGGAGGUUUCUUCUCUUCAGAGACGAAUUUGACUAAUCCAGAAAGUUUCAUGCUGGCAAAUGAGACUAGAGCUAGAGCCCUCCUCUCAUGGUGGCUGAUGCUUGUAUCUGGAAUAAAAUGGCAGUUCAUUGGUUCUAA
Molecule: non-coding RNA, 2523 nt
Organism: Cyanistes caeruleus (blue tit)
Lineage: Eukaryota; Metazoa; Chordata; Aves; Passeriformes; Paridae
Source: RefSeq, a predicted model, not a curated record